AUGAACAAAAAAGGGCUGAGAUUGAAACUAUGUUUUGGGCUGUCAAAUGUGAGAACUGAGAUGUUGAUUUUGCUCUUCAAAAUAAGUCCGAAAAUCCAUCUCUGUCAAAUAAUGCCAUUAUUUUUGUUUGUUGUUUUUUUAUGCCAAGUGAAUACUAAAUGGGCUUUAUUGUGUUUAAAUGUUUGGAAUGAUAUUAACACUUUUUGGGCUAAUUUUUCUUUGUGA
This is a non-coding RNA of Vicia faba (fava bean), 225 nucleotides long. The record is from the annotation of a GenBank genome assembly. NCBI's taxonomy places the organism in Eukaryota, Viridiplantae, Streptophyta, Magnoliopsida, Fabales, Fabaceae.